RNAcentral lists this long non-coding RNA (873 nucleotides) under Salmo salar (Atlantic salmon). Its description in RNAcentral is "lncRNA (ENSSSAG00000103228.1)". The record is from RNAcentral. Lineage: Eukaryota; Metazoa; Chordata; Actinopteri; Salmoniformes; Salmonidae.
GGGAAGCAGAGUGAGCAAGCAAGAGAGGUGGGAGGGGGUUUGUGUGCAUGUACGUGUUAAAGAGUGACUGAGGGAGCAAGGGGGAUAGAGUUAAUGUUGUUGGGCAUACCAGGACAUCACAGGAGGGGAGGGGAGCAGAAACGGCCUCUACACUACAGCAACCUGAUCAGCACUGGCCUUGGGAACAACUUUCUCACACAGGACUGUUUCUCUCUUAAACACCCUAUUCAGGCAGAGGAGGCCAAGCAAGGAAUAAAUAGUGGAGAAAGAGGAGGAGAGAUGGAGUGAAGGGAUUCUCUGUGGAAUGACCGUGUCAUGAUGCAGUCGCUGAGUCUCACCCCGCACCCAGGUGACGAGGGAGGGUGUCUCCGGCCGUCGGCCAAUCACAGAAGGUGCUUUAGGAUAGUCACUUCCUGUUUGUGUUCAUCAAUACUUCCUCUCGGAACCCUCCAGCCUCACUGACGUCCCGCCCCCUUGGCCAAAGUGCCAGGAUUCCGGUCUGGAAGCACGGUUUCGACUGCUCCUACAGUUUUGCUUAGGUACUACAGUUUAACUGACACCAGGUCCAGAAAGACCCAUUUCCAAUUAGAUACUUUAGUCAUCCCCUUUGUGCACAAAGCAAUAUUGAAUUAUUAAAAUAAUUGUCAUGUUCUUGGAUGACGUGAUGACGUUGUCGCUGCUCGCACGGCUCCCUGUGCGCACUGAGUGCUAGUGUGCAUGUGAUGUUAGUCUGUGUAAACCGGAUGCAACCCGGAUAUAGACAGUCCACGAAUCGGCGUAUGCGCACUUGAGUAGAUUACCUCUCAAAUAACGGGCGGACAUAUUGGACACAGUUUCCAGUUCUUUAUUAAACCUCAGUGCUCCAGGUGGUAG